Molecule: ribosomal RNA, 484 nt
Filed under: uncultured bacterium
Lineage: Bacteria
Description: partial 16S ribosomal RNA
Rfam family: Bacterial small subunit ribosomal RNA
Source: RNAcentral
AUUGAACGCUGGCGGCAGGCCUAACACAUGCAAGUCGAGCGGCUGAAGGGAGUUUGCUCCUGGAUUCAGCGGCGGACGGGUGAGUAAUGCCUAGGAAUCUGCCUGGUAGUGGGGGAUAACGUCCGGAAACGGGCGCUAAUACCGCAUACGUCCUGAGGGAGAAAGUGGGGGAUCUUCGGACCUCACGCUAUCAGAUGAGCCUAGGUCGGAUUAGCUAGUUGGUGGGGUAAAGGCCUACCAAGGCGACGAUCCGUAACUGGUCUGAGAGGAUGACCAGCCACACUGGAACUGAGACACGGCCCAGACUCCUACGGGAGGCAGCAGUGGGGAAUUUUGGACAAAGGGGGAAAGCCUGAUCCAGCCAUGCCGCGUGUGGGAAGAAGGUCUUCGGAUUGUAAAGCGCUUUUGGUUGGGAGGAAGGACAGUGGGUUAAUACCUCGCGGUGAUGACGGUACCGGAAGAAUAAGCACCGGCUAACUUCGUG